Molecule: ribosomal RNA, 473 nt
Filed under: uncultured bacterium
Lineage: Bacteria
Description: bacterial SSU rRNA
Rfam family: Bacterial small subunit ribosomal RNA
Source: RNAcentral
ACUCCUACGGGAGGCAGCAGUGGGGAAUAUUGCACAAUGGGCGCAAGCCUGAUGCAGCCAUGCCGCGUGUGUGAAGAAGGCCUUCGGGUUGUAAAGCAUUUUCAGUCGUGAGGAAGGUGGUGUAGUUAAUAGCUGCAUUAUUUGACGUUAGCGACAGAAGAAGCACCGGCUAACUCCGUGCCAGCAGCCGCGGUAAUACGGAGGGUGCGAGCGUUAAUCGGAAUUACUGGGCGUAAAGCGCAUGCAGGUGGUUUGUUAAGUCAGAUGUGAAAGCCCGGGGCUCAACCUCGGAAUUGCAUUUGAAACUGGCAGACUAGAGUACUGUAGAGGGGGUAGAAUUCCAGGUGUAGCGGUGAAAUGCGUAGAGAUCUGGAGGAAUACCGGUGGCGAAGGCGGCCCCCUGGACAAAGACUGACGCUCAGGCACGAAAGCGUGGGGAGCAAACAGGAUUAGAUACCCUGGUAGACUGUCAU